UUCUAUCCAGAGCCGAGAGCUGCGUGCUGUAGCUCCUCGUCAUCGUCGCCGCCGCCGCCUUCUUCGUCCGCCGCAAUCGCGUAACCUGCUACGCCCCCCUCCCCGGCCCUUCUCAUCCCCUGGAUACGGCAAAGCACUACGACGACAUCCCUCAGUCCUCCUCCACCGUCUCCUGGUCGUCCUCUGCCAUUGCCGCCGCCUCAGAUCGGCCGCGUCAAGACAUACAUCUGGAUGAGCAAUUGGUGUCUAUGUAGUUGAUGUAGACCAAUCAGGUCGAUGAGCAAACUGUGACCACACAGGUUGUUGAGGAUUGUGCUUCAGUUCAAUGAAUCGUAGUGGCAUUCUGGGAGCGUGAGGGGAGAUAGUAUAUGAUUAAAAGUUACUCCAUUUUCAGAGCAGAAGAGGUUACAAUACACUGGUCAAAUAAGAUGCAAGUUUCAGAUUGUUGAUACUGAUGUGCUAUCAAUUGCUAGCUUCCACCAUGACCACUCAGGAAGCAAAUUGUUUUCCUGGAACUUCAGUGGCAGAAGCACUCUGCUCAUGCAACGAUUGAAGAUCAACAGAAGGCAGUGUUGCUGAGCUGCAGACCUGCUUUAGGAUUCUUCAGAGCUGUAAUUUGUAGUGAUCAAAUUACAUAGGAUCUGGUCGGUGUAUGAUGUGUGUAGCAAUGAUUUGAAAUAGACAUAUGGAUGCUUGUUGUAACAGAAA
Molecule: long non-coding RNA, 708 nt
Organism: Panicum virgatum (switchgrass)
Lineage: Eukaryota; Viridiplantae; Streptophyta; Magnoliopsida; Poales; Poaceae
Exons: 2
Source: RefSeq, a predicted model, not a curated record